UGUCCCCAGAGCAGGAUGUGUCCCCUCGGUGUCCCCAUGAGUGCCACCCGUGCUCUCUGCCAUGGAGGCGGUGGCAGCUCGGUGGCUCUGCUGUCACCUACACGGCAGUGGCCCCAGUAGCGGGGGAAAUCCCCUCGACAUCGGGGAAACUGAGGCACGGCGACAGCUCCAGGAUGGGACAGCGACAGGGACAGCGCCACCUCCUCGCCACCCCUUUGCUGUCCGGUGUCCCCCACCCCCAGAGCGUUCGGUGGCUUCAGAGGCAAAGGAGGGGAAACUGAGGCAGCACCAGCGGAGCAGGCGGGGCUGGGAGUGUGGGGCAGGGGACAGAGGGGACAGAGGGGACACCCCGUUUGUCGCUGUCCCAGUUUGCCCAGUACGCCGAGAUCGUCAACUUCACCCUGGCCAAUGGCACCAGGCGCAGCGGGCAGGUCCUGGAGGUGAUGGGAACCAAAGCCAUCGUACAGGUGAGAGAGGGGACACGGGGACACGGGGACACGGGACACGGGGACAGGGACAUGGGGACAGGAGACACGGGAUAUGGGACAUGAGGACAGGAGACACGGGGACAGGGGGCACGGUAUAUGGGAUAUGGGACAUGGGAACACGGGAUAUGGGAUACGGGGAUAUGGGGACACGGGGACAGGUGACAUGGGGACAGGGGACACGGCCACAUGCGGGGGGCUGCACGGCCCAGGGCUCUGUCCCGGGUUCCUGUCCCGGGUUCCUGUCCCGGGUUCCUGUCCCGGGUUUCUGUCCCGGGUUUCUGUCCCGGGUUUCUGUCCCGGGUUCCUGUCCCGGGCUCCUGUCCCCGAGCUCUGUCCCCCUCCAGUGGUGGCUGUCGGGUUCGUGUCCCAGCGCUCUGAAGAGGCGGGACUGCUGUCCUGGGAUGGCCAGGAGUGUCCCGGGACAGGUGUUUGAGGGCACAUCUGGCAUCGAUGCCAAGGCCACAACGUGCGAGUUCACGGGGGACAUCCUGCGCACGCCGGUGUCCGAGGACAUGCUGGGUGAGGCACCGGAGUUUUGGGGGUUUUUGGGGGGUUUUUGGGGUUUUUGGGGUUCGGUUCUGGGGUUGAGAGCGUCCCUGGGUCACCUGGGAGGUGUGACAGUCACCUGAGCCCGGGUGUGCAGGGUCCCUCCAUCCCUCCCUGCGCGGUUAUCCCGGGAAAAACGCUUGGGAUGGGCUGGGAAAGGGUCCCAGGUGAGGUGGCACCGUGUCCUUGGGGGUGUCACCGCGUCCGUGGAGGUGUCACCGCGUUCCUGGAGGUGGCACCGUGUCCUUGGGGGUGUCACCGCGUCCUUGGGGGUGUCACCGCGUCCGUGGAGGUGUCACCGCGUUCCUGGAGGUGGCACCGUGUCCUUGGGGGUGUCACCACGUCCUUGGGGGUGUCACCCCAUCCCUGGAGGUGUCACCGCGUCCUUGGGGGUGUCACCGCGUCCUUGGGGGUGUCACCUCAUCCCUGGAAGUGUCACCGUGUCCUUGGGGGUGUCACCCCUUUCCUGAAGGUGUCACCCCAUCCCUGGCGGUGUCCCCCACCCCUGGCGGUGUCACCCCAUCCCUGGCGGUGUCACCCCAUCCCUGGAGGUGUCACCCAUCCCUGGAGGUGUCACCCCACCCCUGGAGGUGUCACCCCACCCCUGGCAGUGUCACCCCAUCCCUGGAGGUGUCACCCCACCCCUGGAGGUGUCACCCACCCCUGGCGGUGUCACCCACCCCUGGCAGUGUCCCAGGCCAGGCUGCACAGAGCUUGAAGCCACCUGGGACACUGAAAAGUGUCCCCAUGGCAGGGAGGUGACACGGAUGACACUGAAUGUCCCUUCCCACCCAAACCACUCUGGGAUCCGGCUGUGACCCCCCCCCGAGCCCCCCAAACCCCACUCGGGGUCACACCGGGGGUGGGGGUGGCCCUGUCCCUGUCGCUGUCCCCAU
Molecule: long non-coding RNA, 1930 nt
Filed under: Parus major (Great Tit)
Lineage: Eukaryota; Metazoa; Chordata; Aves; Passeriformes; Paridae
Description: lncRNA (ENSPMJG00000004239.1)
Source: RNAcentral